Molecule: ribosomal RNA, 253 nt
Filed under: uncultured bacterium
Lineage: Bacteria
Description: partial 16S ribosomal RNA
Rfam family: Bacterial small subunit ribosomal RNA
Source: RNAcentral
UACGUAGGGGGCGAGCGUUGUCCGGAAUUAUUGGGCGUAAAGAGCUCGUAGGCGGUUUGUCGCGUCUGCCGUGAAAGUCCGGGGCUCAACUCCGGAUCUGCGGUGGGUACGGGCAGACUAGAGUGAUGUAGGGGAGACUGGAAUUCCUGGUGUAGCGGUGAAAUGCGCAGAUAUCAGGAGGAACACCGAUGGCGAAGGCAGGUCUCUGGGCAUUAACUGACGCUGAGACGCGAAAGCGUGGGGAGCAAACAGG